CCUACGGGGGGCUGCAGUGGGGAAUCUUGCACAAUGGGGGAAACCCUGAUGCAGCGACGCCGCGUGGAGGAUGAAGGAUUUAGGUCUGUAAACUCCUUUUUCAGGGAAAGACUUAGGACGGUACCCUGAGAAUAAGCACCGGCUAACUACGUGCCAGCAGCCGCGGUAAGACGUAGGGUGCAAGCGUUGUCCGGAUUUACUGGGCGUAAAGAGCGCGUAGGCGGUCUGUUAAGUGUGAAGUGAAAUCUCCAGGGCUCAACCCGGAAACUGCUUCGCAUACUGGCAGACUAGAGGGAUGCAGAGGUAAGUGGAAUUCCUGGUGUAGCGGUGACAUGCAUUGAUAUCAGGAGGAACACCCAUGGCGAAGGCAGCUUACUGGGCAUCAUCUGACGCUGAGGCGCGAAAGCGUGGGGAGCAAACAGGAUUAGAUACCCCUGUAGUC
RNAcentral lists this ribosomal RNA (442 nucleotides) under uncultured Armatimonadota bacterium. RNAcentral describes it as "bacterial SSU rRNA". It matches the Rfam family "Bacterial small subunit ribosomal RNA", at positions 338 to 795 of the family's 1533-position model. Lineage: Bacteria; Bacillati; Armatimonadota. The record is from RNAcentral.